RNAcentral lists this ribosomal RNA (29 nucleotides) under Scolecobasidium capsici. Its description in RNAcentral is "Ochroconis capsici partial 28S ribosomal RNA". The record is from RNAcentral. Lineage: Eukaryota; Fungi; Ascomycota; Dothideomycetes; Venturiales; Sympoventuriaceae.
UUUGGCCUCGGAUCAGGCGGGAUACCCGC